UUCAAUGAGAAACAAUAUUCAGGUCAGGUCAAAGCCUAGAGAAAAAUGCGCAUUCAGAAGUGGGCUGCCAUCCUGCUUUUUCUGAAGUGAACAGCUGCUGGGUAUUGAAACCAGCCCUCACGGUUGGGUCCCUGCCACCAUGGCAACACUCUGGUUUCUGAGCUGGAGUGGCCAAGGCACAAUGGGGUGGUUCCAUGGCCCAGAAGCACUCUAGCUACAGAUUAGAAUGAUGACAAGAGUAAUACCUUCCUAGUGAAGAUGACUUUUAUUUCAGGACUAUAUUAAGUUUCCCAACUUCUGUCAUGAUAUAGUCCAAAGAGAACCUGGACCACGCAGACAUCAAACAGAACAUGACACUGACCCAUUCUAUCAGUGACGUUGUGCUGAUUGCACAGGACAGAUGAGAGGCUCGUAUACUAGAAGUCUUGAUAACUUGUUUUCUAGUUUCACAUGUCCACAGAUGAAGAAAAAUUGUGCCCCAGCAAGGAUUAUACCCAGAGCCUCAUCCAUUCAUACCUGAUUUAGAUACUUAGAUGAUGAGUAAUAGAAAAGUCAUAUGAUACUUCAAAAUCUGUGAUUCCAUGAAGCCAAGAGUAGCUCUUCAACAGGAAAUGAAUGAGUGCUUCAGCUUCUGAUCCCAUUAGUAAGAAAAUACAGUCUUAUGAGCAAUGAUGGAGCUGCAUCUCUUAGGGGCAUUUGAUUCCCAAGAGACCAAAGAGCAAAGAGAAUGUCAAUUUAAAAAAAUCAAAUGUUUCCAUGACUUAGCUAUUUAACUGCUUUAAAAUGAAUGAAUGCUGCUUCAAGUUCUUUCAAAUACCCCACAUCUUGGCAACAACGAAAGGAAUUAACAUGAAGAAAAUUUACAAUCUUUCAUCACAUCGAACAAUGUCCCACAUUUGAAAAGUUCACAGCACAGAUUUCUGGUUACUGAAAGAAAGGAAAGACCUUCUUUGGAUUUGAAUAAACAGAUGGACUUUCUUCUCCUUUUUCUUAUAGUGCCCGAUUUGUGUAAAGGGAGGUGGGAAGAAAACAUCUUAGCUUAAAAGAGUGUCCUAUAAAAUAAAAGGUUUCAUACUU
Molecule: long non-coding RNA, 1077 nt
Filed under: Homo sapiens (human)
Lineage: Eukaryota; Metazoa; Chordata; Mammalia; Primates; Hominidae
Description: HSALNT0302902
Source: RNAcentral